GGAAUCUUCCACAAUGGACGCAAGUCUGAUGGAGCAACGCCGCGUGAGUGAAGAAGGUCUUCGGAUCGUAAAACUCUGUUGUUAGAGAAGAACAUGCAGGAGAGUAACUGUUCUUGUAUUGACGGUAUCUAACCAGAAAGCCACGGCUAACUACGUGUCAG
Molecule: ribosomal RNA, 161 nt
Filed under: uncultured bacterium
Lineage: Bacteria
Description: partial 16S rRNA
Rfam family: Bacterial small subunit ribosomal RNA
Source: RNAcentral